UUUCCGUAGGUGAACCUUCGGAAGGAUCAUUACCGUAACGCGGCGGUCCGGCAACCGCAAGGAAGUCGGCCGCCACACGCGUUUAUCACCCUUGACUUUGAGCACCUUUCGUUUCCUCGGCGGGUUCGCCCGCCAGCGAGGACCCCCAUAAACCCUUUGUAAUAGCAAUAUUUGUCUGAAAAACAACCAAUAAUCAAAACUUUCAACAAUGGAUCUCUUGGUUCUGGCAUCGAUGAAGAACGCAGC
This 246-nucleotide unclassified non-coding RNA is filed under the name uncultured fungus. RNAcentral's name for it is "sequence contains ITS1, 5.8S rRNA gene". The stretch from base 198 to 246 matches the Rfam family "5.8S ribosomal RNA", at positions 1 to 49 of the family's 154-position model. The record is from RNAcentral. Lineage: Eukaryota; Fungi.